Molecule: ribosomal RNA, 591 nt
Filed under: uncultured bacterium
Lineage: Bacteria
Description: bacterial SSU rRNA
Rfam family: Bacterial small subunit ribosomal RNA
Source: RNAcentral
ACGGGUGAGUAAUAUAUCGGGACGUGCCCAAUCGUGGGGGAUAACGUAGAGAAAUUUACGCUAAUACCGCAUACGAUCUAAGGAUGAAAGCGGGGGAUCGCAAGACCUCGCGCGAUUGGAGCGGCUGAUAUCAGAUUAGGUUGUUGGUGAGGUAAAAGCUCACCAAGCCGACGAUCUGUAGCUGGUUUGAGAGAACGACCAGCCACACUGGGACUGAGACACGGCCCAGACUCCUACGGGAGGCAGCAGUGGGGAAUUUUGGACAAUGGGCGAAAGCCUGAUCCAGCAAUGCCGCGUGCAGGAAGAAGGCCUUCGGGUUGUAAACUGCUUUUGUACGGAACGAAACGGCCUUUUCUAAUAAAGAGGGCUAAUGACGGUACCGUAAGAAUAAGCACCGGCUAACUACGUGCCAGCAGCCGCGGUAAUACGUAGGGUGCGAGCGUUAAUCGGAAUUACUGGGCGUAAAGCGUGCGCAGGCGGUUAUAUAAGACAGUUGUGAAAUCCCCGGGCUCAACCUGGGAAUUGCAUCUGUGACUGUAUAGCUAGAGUACGGUAGAGGGGGAUGGAAUUCCGCGUGUAGCAGUGAAAUGC